UGGGGAAUAUUGCACAAUGGGCGCAAGCCUGAUGCAGCCAUGCAGCGUGUGUGAAGAAGGCCUUCGGGUUGUAAAGCACUUUCAGCGAGGAGGAAGGUGGUGAGCUUAAUACGCUCAUCAAUUGACGUUACUCGCAGAAGAAGCACCGGCUAACUCCGUGCCAGCAGCCGCGGUAAUACGGAGGGUGCAAGCGUUAAUCGGAAUUACUGGGCGUAAAGCGCACGCAGGCGGUUUGUUAAGUCAGAUGUGAAAUCCCCGGGCUCAACCUGGGAACUGCAUUUGAAACUGGCAAGCUAGAGUCUCGUAGAGGGGGGUAGAAUUCCAGGUGUAGCGGUGAAAUGCGUAGAGAUCUGGAGGAAUACCGGUGGCGAAGGCGGCCCCCUGGACGAAGACUGACGCUCAGGUGCGAAAGCGUGGGGCAGCAAACAGGAUUAGAUACCCUGGUAGUCCACGCUGUAAACGAUGUCGAUUUUGGAGGUUGUGCCCUUGAGGCGUGGCUUCCGGAGCUAACGCGUUAAAGUCGACCGCCUGGGAGUACGG
Molecule: ribosomal RNA, 540 nt
Filed under: uncultured bacterium
Lineage: Bacteria
Description: partial 16S ribosomal RNA
Rfam family: Bacterial small subunit ribosomal RNA
Source: RNAcentral